CAGUUUCAGGACUCCUCGGCUAUGGACAAAUUCCAUAGGGGGCAAACUGACAUAAAGUUUCAGACUAGACUGCAUCCUAUGUGGGAAGAUUUGCUGCGGUUAAUGUCAGUGCAGGAAAAAGAACUGACAAAAUCGAUCUGGUUAAACAUAGUCUGGGAUAUUUCUAGAGAGAGAGAGAGAGAAAGGGAGAGGAGAGGGGAGGUAGAUUGUUUAAGUAAAACGCAGCUUAUAGCCCAACUUUGAGCUGCUGGCCUCACUCCAAGGUGUAGAUAGUCUACGUCGCAAAGCGCAAGGCUCUUUUUACAAACCCCUUUAGGCUACACUGAAUCAAGGGAUUCUGUUUUCCGGGGGUUACAUGCAGGCUCCACAAACCCCCCAAAAUGAUGUGUUUUCUCCACUGAUUCUCCUGUGCUGUGACACCUUUCAUCUCAUUAGAAAAUGGCGGUUUGUGCCCCCUUCAAAACACAUCAUGCCAAGGAACAUUUUCUUUUUUAACAGUAAAUAACGAGUUAAUGCUCACUGGUAAAAUGUGGAAAUGGUAAAUAUAUUCAAGCUUAUAUCUGUGUUAUUUUUAAAAGAAUAAUAGCAUUAAAGAAACAUGUGGCUUU
Molecule: long non-coding RNA, 608 nt
Organism: Dicentrarchus labrax (European seabass)
Lineage: Eukaryota; Metazoa; Chordata; Actinopteri; Moronidae
Exons: 2
Source: RefSeq, a predicted model, not a curated record